GGCGAGCGGCGGGCGGCGGAGGUUGGGCGGCGGCGCAGCGGGCGGGCGGCGCGGGCCACAGAGGCCGGGCGCGGAGGAGAGAGAGGAGCGUGGGGGAGGAGAGAGGGGAGGGUACCGGUGGAAAAAUGGAGGAGGGGGACCACUUUUAGCACUUCUAGUCAAUUUUAGCACCUCUUGGAGGGCUAAUGGAUUAUGGGGGGCUAAAAUUUAGCCCCUCCAUUUUAGCCUAGGUGUUUGGGAGGAGGAGAGGCUAAAAGUGACUAAAAUGGGGGUGCUAAAAUUUAGCACCCCC
Molecule: long non-coding RNA, 292 nt
Filed under: Setaria italica (foxtail millet)
Lineage: Eukaryota; Viridiplantae; Streptophyta; Magnoliopsida; Poales; Poaceae
Description: long non-coding RNA (SITA_LNC005598)
Source: RNAcentral